UUCUCCUUCUCUUCACAUUUCUCUCAUUAUUUGAAUAAUUUUUUUUUUUAAAUUUAUGGGUCAACUUCAUUUUGAUCCAUGGAAUAAAAAUUUUAAGAAAAUUAUUACAAUUAUCAUAAUCUCAAGGAUUAACUCAAUUAAGGAGUGUGUUUAUUGAUUAAAAUUUAAUUCUUGAAACAUUAUUCAAGAGUUAGUUUUUGAAUACACAAAUUGAAUGUAGAUGCAGCUAUAAACUCAAUUUAAGAGAGAUUUAGCCUUCAAAUGCAAUGAUUCAAAUUCAAUUAAUUGGGAUGAUAAUUAUGAGUUAUACAGUGAGAGAUUUAGCUUUUUGAUACAAUUGUUGUAUGUUUUCUGCUAGGUCAUAUACUUGUUUUUACUCAUAAUAAGUGAAUGGUCGAAUCUUCUAAUGAGUUGCUUGUUUUUCUUGCUUUAGUUCCAAACAAGUGCACCAAAAAGCUGUUUCAUGCGUCCUCCAGGGGCUAUUCUUGCCCCAGGCGAAAGUAUCAUAGCAACUGGUAAUUAAGCUUUGAAUAUCAUGUUCAUGUUACUGUGUUUGGGACAAUAUUCAUUUGCUAUCCAACAUUUUAUAAAAUACUCUUCUUAAUUUUGGAUGUAGUAUUCAAGUUUGUUGAGCAGCCAGAAAACAAUGAGAAACCAG
RNAcentral lists this unclassified non-coding RNA (658 nucleotides) under Hevea brasiliensis (rubber tree). Lineage: Eukaryota; Viridiplantae; Streptophyta; Magnoliopsida; Malpighiales; Euphorbiaceae. The record is from RNAcentral.